Molecule: transfer RNA, 73 nt
Filed under: Globisporangium ultimum DAOM BR144
Lineage: Eukaryota; Oomycota; Peronosporomycetes; Pythiales; Pythiaceae
Description: Pythium ultimum DAOM BR144 tRNA
Rfam family: tRNA
About the family: Transfer RNA (tRNA) molecules are approximately 80 nucleotides in length. Their secondary structure includes four short double-helical elements and three loops (D, anti-codon, and T loops).
Source: Rfam by way of RNAcentral
GCAAAAAUAGCUCAAUAGGUAGAGUAUAACCUUGCCAAGGUUAAUGUUGAGGGUUCGAAUCCCUUUUUUUGCU